AGUCAAUAGAUACCCAGGUAGUCCACGCCGUAAACGAUGUCGACUUGGAGGUUGUGCCCUUGAGGCGUGGCUUCCGGAGCUAAACGCGUUAAGUCGACCGCCUGGGGAGUACGGCCGCAAGGUUAAAACUCAAAUGAAUUGACGGGGGCCCGCACAAGCGGUGGAGCAUGUGGUUUAAUUCGAUGCAACGCGAAGAACCUUACCUACUCUUGACAUCCAGAGAACUUAGCAGAGAUGCUUUGGUGCCUUCGGGAACUCUGAGACAGGUGCUGCAUGGCUGUCGUCAGCUCGUGUUGUGAAAUGUUGGGUUAAGUCCCGCAACGAGCGCAACCCUUAUCCUUUGUUGCCAGCGGUUAGGCCGGGAACUCAAAGGAGACUGCCAGUGAUAAACUGGAGGAAGGUGGGGAUGACGUCAAGUCAUCAUGGCCCUUACGAGUAGGGCUACACACGUGCUACAAUGGCGCAUACAAAGAGAAGCGACCUCGCGAGAGCAAGCGGACCUCAU
RNAcentral lists this ribosomal RNA (505 nucleotides) under uncultured bacterium. Its description in RNAcentral is "bacterial SSU rRNA". It matches the Rfam family "Bacterial small subunit ribosomal RNA", at positions 775 to 1277 of the family's 1533-position model. The record is from RNAcentral.